Molecule: transfer RNA, 69 nt
Filed under: Urocitellus parryii (Arctic ground squirrel)
Lineage: Eukaryota; Metazoa; Chordata; Mammalia; Rodentia; Sciuridae
Also listed under: 1 other name
Description: Spermophilus parryii (Arctic ground squirrel) tRNA
Rfam family: tRNA
About the family: Transfer RNA (tRNA) molecules are approximately 80 nucleotides in length. Their secondary structure includes four short double-helical elements and three loops (D, anti-codon, and T loops).
Source: Rfam by way of RNAcentral
GGGGUUGUGGCUCAGCGGUAGAGAGCUUGCCUUGCAUGUAUGAGGCACUGGGUUCCAUCCCCAGCACCA